RNAcentral lists this non-coding RNA (24 nucleotides) under Cricetulus griseus (Chinese hamster). The record is from RNAcentral. Lineage: Eukaryota; Metazoa; Chordata; Mammalia; Rodentia; Cricetidae.
UCUGGUUCGGGUGGGUCGUCAGGC